Molecule: long non-coding RNA, 521 nt
Organism: Larimichthys crocea (large yellow croaker)
Lineage: Eukaryota; Metazoa; Chordata; Actinopteri; Sciaenidae
Exons: 4
Source: RefSeq, a predicted model, not a curated record
AGAAGAGGAAUGCUGGUAGGAAAUAGAUAGAGGGUCGGAUGUAGAGACAGGGGAAAGGAUGAGGGGAGAUUAAGGAUGAGAGGGAAGUAAGGGGGUGGAAAACAGUGGUCGAAAAGGCGUAAGGGCGGAGGGAGGUACAUGGUCUGUUGAGGAAAAGAUGAAAGGGGGAUUAGAGGAGUGAGAGAGUUAAAAUGUGAGGGCAGGAAAGCAACGUAAUGGUCGGGAGAAUGGCAAAGGAGGGACGAGAGUUUCAUCUGAAUUGCAGAGGCUUGGAAGACACAUGCCGGAGAUGAAGGUGGGGGUUGACAAGAUGCUGUGAUCUGCUCACCAUCUAAUCAACCGCUACAGUACAGAAGACCGGCUGUACCUCUGAGACUCCACCAGCCUGUUCAGUCUCCAUCGUGGAUAUCCUCCUGCCAUCUGCCUGCCUCGAUGUUGGACCUCACCAUGCCACCACCAGUCCUGUACCAGCCCCCUGAUUCACUCUCAGCUAGAUCACCACCUCCCCCUGCACAUUUCAC